This 497-nucleotide ribosomal RNA is filed under the name uncultured bacterium. Its description in RNAcentral is "partial 16S ribosomal RNA". It matches the Rfam family "Bacterial small subunit ribosomal RNA", at positions 28 to 507 of the family's 1533-position model. The record is from RNAcentral.
GAUGAACGCUGGCGGCGUGCCUAAUACAUGCCAGUCGAGCGAACAGACGAGGAGCUUGCUUCUCUGACGUUAGCGGCGGACGGGUGAGUAACACGUGGAUAACCUACCUAUAAGACUGGGAUAACUUCGGGAAACCGGAGCUAAUACCGGAUAAUAUUUUGAACCGCAUGGUUCAAUAGUGAAAGACGGUUUUGCUGUCACUUAUAGAUGGAUCCGCGCUGCAUUAGCUAGUUGGUAAGGUAACGGCUUACCAAGGCAACGAUGCGUAGCCGACCUGAGAGGGUGAUCGGCCACACUGGAACUGAGACACGGUCCAGACUCCUACGGGAGGCAGCAGUAGGGAAUCUUCCGCAAUGGGCGAAAGCCUGACGGAGCAACGCCGCGUGAGUGAUGAAGGUCUUCGGAUCGUAAAACUCUGUUAUUAGGGAAGAACAUAUGUGUAAGUAACUGUGCACAUCUUGACGGUACCUAAUCAGAAAGCCACGGCUAACUACGUG